Molecule: ribosomal RNA, 372 nt
Filed under: Hyastenus hilgendorfi
Lineage: Eukaryota; Metazoa; Arthropoda; Malacostraca; Decapoda; Majidae
Description: partial 12S ribosomal RNA
Source: RNAcentral
UACUAUACUGAAAUUAAUAUUGAACACUAAAAUAUUAAGAGAUGAAGUCUUUAAAUUUAAAGAAUUUGGCGGUAAUUUAGUCUUUCCAGAGGAACCUGUUUUUUAAUCGAUAAACCCCGAAAUAUCUUACUUAUUUUAAAAUAACUUAAGAGUUAGAGGUUUGUAUACCAUCAUUAUCAGAUAAUAUUUAAAGAUAAAUUAUUAAGUUUUAAAUAAUAAGAUAAAUUAGAUCAAGGUGCAGCUUAUAAAUAAGUUAAAAUGGGUUACAAUUAAGUUUAUAUAAUAAUGGAAUAGAGGUUGAAACAUUUCUAGGAAGGAGGAUUUGGUUGUAAGUUAGGUUAGUGAGGUAAAAAGAUAUGAGCUCUAAAUUAU